CCGCUGCCUACGGCUACGGCGCGCUGCGAGGACACCGGCGUGUAAAAAUGAACACAUGCGGAGGAGCCCGUACUGGCCAUUAUACCGGCUCCACGUGUGUCCCAACACACCACGCCUCACAGCGCUCACCCGCUAGACAGCCCCGCGUUCCCGCGACAGUGCCCUCAACACACAAACGUUCUUCUGUGCUUGGAAAUUUGCACCACCUCCGCCUGAUCAAGACACUAUGCAGCCACCUGUGAUGAUGGAAUGAAGGCUGUUGUCUCAGCUAUCCAGGAGACCGAGUUCAUCGAAUCCUGUCACAUGAACCCUGGAAACAAAGAUUAAUGAAUUACAAACAUUUGUUAGGUAGAGUGCUCAGUGGCAACUGGGUGGUCUUUUGACCUUGGAACCCCUGCAGAUUUUUUUUUUAUCUAGCCUAACUGGAGGUUUUUUACCCUUUUUCCCCUGUUCUCCCAGCCAUCUGAACUUAUCAUUGGACUCCUCCUUAGAGACCUUACAUCAUGACAGUGCAUAUAAGGAUGCUACUCUUCUACUUGAAGUUUA
This is a long non-coding RNA of Polypterus senegalus (gray bichir), 546 nucleotides long. RefSeq lists it as uncharacterized. The record is from RefSeq and is a predicted model, not a curated record. The transcript is spliced from 3 exons. NCBI's taxonomy places the organism in Eukaryota, Metazoa, Chordata, Cladistia, Polypteriformes, Polypteridae.